GCGCUGCUUUUCUCUACGUGCUUUGCACAUGCGCGACUGCUUUUCCCUUCUUCCUCGGCUUCCACUGGCGCCCACGGUUCGCGGAGCCGCCGGUAGCGCGGCGGAGAAGUGGGGAAGUUCAAGAUGGCCGCCGCGGAGCCCCCGUCGCUGCGGGAGCAGCCGGAAAUGGAUGAUGGUGAUAAUUCUGAAAAGAGUGUAAAUGAAGAAAAUGGAGAAGUAUCAGAAGACCAAUCUCAAAAUAAACACAGUCGUCACAAAAAAAAGAAGCAUAAACACAGAAGUAAACAUAAGAAACAUAAACAUUCCUCAGAAGAAGAUAGGGAUAAAAAACAUAAACAUAAGCAUAAGCAUAAGAAACGCAAAAAAGGAGCUGUAGAUGCCUCUGACAAAGAAGGCCUCUCCCCUGCAAAAAGAACUAAACUUGAUGACUUAGCUUUGCUGGAAGACUUGGAAAAACAGAGAGCUUUGAUUAAAGCUGAGCUUGACAAUGAGUUAAUGGAGGGAAAGGUCCAGUCUGGAAUGGGGCUCAUUUUGCAAGGCUAUGAGUCUGGCUCUGAAGAAGAAGGAGAGAUUCAUGAAAAGGCAAGAAAUGGAAAUAGGUCCAGUACCAGGUCUUCCAGUACACGGGGGAAACUUGAAAUUACGGACAACAAAAAUAGUGCAAAAAAACGAAGUAAAAGCAGAUCCAAAGAAAGGACUAGACACAGGUCGGAUAAAAGGAAAAGCAAGGGCGCUGUUGACAUGGUAAGAGAGAAAGCAAAUAGGAGCAAGUCCAAGGAGAGGAGAAAAUCCAUAAGUCCGUCCAAAAGAAGCAAAUCUCAAGACCAAGCAAGAAAAUCAAAGUCCCCUACCCUUAGACGGCGGUCCCAAGAAAAGAUUGGGAAGGCCAAAUCUCCUACUGAUGAGAAGAUUAAGAUUGAAGAUAAAGGUAAAAUAAAAGAUAGGAAGAAAUCACCAAUUGUAAAUGAAAGAAGUCGAGAUCGAUCUAAAAAAUCCAGGUCUCCAGUUGACCUAAGAGAUAAAUCCAAAGACAGAAGGUCAAGGUCCAAAGAGCGAAAGUCAAAGCGGUCUGAAAUUGACAAAGAAAAGAAGCCAAUUAAGUCUCCUUCAAAAGAUGCCUCUUCAGGGAAGGAAAAUAGGUCACCCAGUAGAAGACCUGGCCGGAGUCCCAAAAGAAGAAGUUUAUCUCCAAAACAGCGAGACAAGUCAAGAAGAAGUAGGUCCCCACUUCUCAAUGACAGACGGUCUAAGCAGAGUAAAUCGCCUUCUCGAACUCUGUCUCCAGGUAGAAGGGCCAAGAGCCGAUCCUUAGAAAGAAAGCGAAGAGAGCCAGAGAGGAGACGACUUUCUUCUCCAAGAACACGGCCUCGAGAUGAUAUUCUCAGUAGAUGCGAACGAUCAAAAGAUGCUAGCCCCAUCAAUAGGUGGUCUCCAACCCGAAGAAGAAGUAGGUCUCCCAUUAGGAGGAGAUCCCGUUCCCCGUUGAGACGCAGCAGGUCUCCAAGACGAAGAAGCAGGUCCCCUCGGAGAAGAGAUAGGGGUCGAAGGAGCAGGUCUCGCUUGAGAAGAAGAUCUCGGUCACGUGGUGGUCAUAGGAGAAGGAGCAGAAGCAAAGUAAAGGAAGAUAAAUUUAAAGGAAGUCUUUCUGAAGGAAUGAAAGUUGAGCAAGAAUCUUCAUCUGAUGAUAACCUUGAAGAUUUUGAUGUAGAGGAAGAAGAUGAAGAGGCGCUAAUAGAACAGAGGAGGAUACAGAGGCAGGCAAUUGUACAGAAAUAUAAAUAUCUUGCUGAAGAUAGCAAUAUAUCUGUGCCAUCUGAGCCGAGCAGCCCCCAGAGCAGCACGAGGUCACGAUCGCCUUCUCCAGAUGACAUCUUGGAGCGGGUAGCUGCUGAUGUAAAAGAAUAUGAGCGAGAGAAUGUUGACACCUUUGAGGCCUCAGUAAAAGCCAAGCAUAAUCUAAUGACGGUUGAACAAAAUAAUGGUUCAUCUCAGAAGAAGCUUUUGGCACCUGAUAUGUUUACAGAAUCUGAUGAUAUGUUUGCUGCUUAUUUUGAUAGUGCUCGUCUCCGUGCUGCUGGCAUCGGGAAAGAUUUCAAAGAGAAUCCCAACCUUAGAGAUAAUUGGACAGAUGCAGAAGGCUAUUACCGUGUGAACAUUGGGGAAGUCCUAGAUAAGCGUUAUAAUGUUUAUGGCUACACUGGGCAGGGUGUGUUUAGCAAUGUUGUACGUGCCAGGGAUAAUGCAAGAGCCAAUCAGGAAGUGGCGGUAAAGAUCAUCAGAAACAAUGAACUCAUGCAAAAGACUGGUUUAAAAGAACUAGAAUUCUUGAAAAAACUUAAUGAUGCUGAUCCUGAUGACAAAUUUCAUUGCCUGCGCCUCUUCAGACACUUUUACCAUAAGCAACACCUCUGUCUUGUAUUCGAGCCUCUCAGUAUGAACUUGCGAGAGGUAUUAAAAAAGUACGGUAAGGAUGUCGGUCUCCAUAUUAAAGCUGUGAGAUCCUACAGUCAGCAAUUGUUCCUGGCGUUGAAACUCCUUAAAAGAUGCAACAUCCUGCAUGCAGAUAUCAAGCCAGACAAUAUUCUGGUCAAUGAAUCAAAAACAAUUUUAAAGCUUUGUGAUUUUGGAUCGGCUUCGCAUGUUGCAGAUAAUGACAUAACGCCUUAUCUUGUCAGUAGAUUUUAUCGUGCUCCGGAGAUCAUUAUAGGUAAAAGCUAUGACUAUGGUAUCGAUAUGUGGUCUGUAGGUUGCACCUUAUAUGAACUCUAUACUGGAAAAAUCUUAUUUCCUGGCAAAACUAAUAACCAUAUGUUGAAGCUCGCCAUGGACCUCAAAGGAAAGAUGCCAAAUAAGAUGAUUCGGAAAGGUGUAUUCAAAGACCAACAUUUUGACCAAAAUCUGAACUUCAUGUACAUAGAGGUUGAUAAAGUAACAGAGAGGGAGAAAGUUACUGUCAUGAGCACCAUUAACCCAACUAAGGACCUGUUGGCUGACUUGAUUGGGUGCCAGCGACUUCCUGAAGAUCAACGUAAAAAAGUACACCAGCUAAAGGACUUGUUGGACCAGAUCCUAAUGUUGGACCCGGCUAAGCGAAUUAGCAUCAACCAGGCCCUGCAGCAUGCAUUCAUCCAGGAAAAAAUUUAAACGAGAUGAAGAAACUCCAAGGGUUUGAGUAACUAAAUACAAAGACUGAAGAAAUUUCACAGCAGUUUAUUAUUAAUGUAUAUAAACUUAUAAAUAUUUCUGCAGCAAAUUUGAGGAAGCAUGAUAUAUUUGAAUUAACACCAAGGGUGAUAUUUCUUUUAGAAAUGUUAGUUAAACUGUUUUGUGUCUUAUGUGAAAUUUCACUGUAGAAAUGUUUUAAUUGCCAAGACUGCACAAAAUUAAAGUGCUAAUGUAUAUGGUUGCAGUUCACAUAAAAGACAAAAGCAUCUGUUAUGAGUAGCAAUGCUGGGUGGUUGAUUUGUUUUUAGCAGACUUGGCUUCAUUUUGGUCUUCAGAUACAAUGGCCAGCAUAAAUGCUGUUUAUAUUCACAUUUUCCUAGGUGUGUGUGUGCAGGCCACAGCAGCAUGCCCUUGGUGUAGUCAGUGCCGAAGGGAGUCUGUUCCUUCUUGAGCCUGCCUGCAGGGAUGUCUCCUCUUUUAAAGCAGGUUGUGUACAACAUUCAGUACACUGAAGGUAAGCUAAACCAUCAACAUCACCAGUGUUUUAAGAUGUUAUUUUAUUGGAAUAAUUGAAAAUGAGGGAUAGCUGUGUGGCAGAAUUUCCUGCAUGUGUGAUAAUUGAUCUUGUUUUAUUUUUCUGGCAUCGCGACUGUGGCAUAGUUACAGUUUCUGUUCUGUUCAUCACAUUUAAAAUUUGAAGCGUAUGCGCUUGAUGGAUAGAGCGCCUUCAGUGUACUGUUUCUUAUUAACUUUACUUUUUUUUUAAAAUCAACUUGCUAUAGACUUUAUAUACAUUUUGUUAAAUACAGUUCUUAGUGACAUAGAAACUGCAUAGUUUUCAUUUACUAAUUAAAAUGUUGAGGCCUACUUCUGAAAGUCCUCAUAUUUAAAAGAUAGACAGCAUAAUGAGAUUUUUAACUAUUUGUAUGUCAUUUUGAAAGUGUACUGCUUUAUGGUAAAAGUGUUUUUCAUUUGUUCAUUGUUUGCAUUAUUUGUGAUCAUGUUGUCUUUCAAUACAGGCAUAAACCUCCCACUCUUGAACAAAGCAGCUGCUUUUUAAAAGCGGUAAUUGCUUCUUUACCUUUUAUUUCUUUUGUAAAUGAAGCUUUUUCUUUAAAAAUGUGACUUUAAAGUGUUGUCUAUUGCAUAAACAGUUGACACUCACUUACUGUAAAGUGAACAUUGUUCUCCUGCAUGGGAAGUGGACCAUGCAGAAUUCUGUAUGUUCUCAGUAUGCAUCACUAGAUAAUAAAGUCUUUUGUGAACAAGGCAUUUGUAGCCAUUUUUAAAAGAUUUUGUCUUCAGUGCUGGUAAGUCAGGUAAACUGUAAAUAGUUAAAAACAGUCUUUGUUUUUCUCCUGAAAGUAUUACCUGCUAAAGAUAUAACUCAGCCUAGCCUGAUUUUUAAAUUUUUCUUAAUUAUUAGGGUCUUAAUUAUUUCCCCCAGAUGAAAAGUUUUGUCAGCUUUCAGUGUAGUGAGGUUAUUCCUGUAGGUUAUGGGGUAUAACUCAGGGUUUAACUAAUGUUUCUGCUAUUUUCUCACUUUUCCUUUUGAUGGUGCGGAAAGAGAAAAAGGAAAACGGGGCACAGGCCAUUCGACGCCUUCUCCAAGGGGUCUGAUUUGCUGAGACACCAGCUUCACCUUCUUAACAAGGUUAUUUCUGACAGCAUGUGUAGAUAAACAUUUAGCAACAAUUUAAAACAAAAUCAUGUAAAUCAGCUUGGUUUUGCAACACAAAGGAAUUUGUAUUUUUAAUAUGGUAUAAGAGAAUUUUCAGAAUCCUGUGUAAUCUUUUCUGUUUGGGAGUGGGUAAACUUACUGCUUGUCUCCCUGAGGAUUAUGAGAACAAUUAAAUUUUGGGGUUUAAAUAAUAUUUUUACAUUGUAAAUGGGAUUUUUUUAUUCACCCAGGCACCUAAUUACAACAAGCAUGCACAUUUUGGUGCAUUCAAGAAUGGAAUAUCAGAGUAGCAGCAUUCUCCUGGUGCGGCUCAGUGGAAGAUGACGGCAGCCAGAAGACAUGAGCCAAGGCUUCUGUCCCAUAAAAGACCUUUUCAGUUGUCAUUUUUAGUUUCAGCAUUACAAUUUGGGUGUCGUUGCUGUGGUCGUUAGAGUAGUGGUGCUGUUGUGCUCGUCUGUAAAGUGUUUGUUUUUAUCACAUUUGCUGCAGCCACACCCUUCUUCUAAAGUGAAAAUCAGCUCAGUCAUAGAAAAAGCCCACACUCAUGGUCAUCAGAGUCACUGAGAAAGCAGUAGCUGCCAAGUCAGUGUGCAUUUGAAAGUAAUCUGCAAGUUGGGUUUAUUGACCACACUGGGCAAGUGGAGGCAGUAAGAGUUUGAGAUCAAGGCCUGCUUAGCCUAUAUGAACCCCCUCCUUUUGUUUUUGUUUUCUUUUUAAAAUAAUUCUUUAGCUUUAAACAGGCACCUAAAUUGUAUGAGUAGUAAAAUUUUAAUAAACUAUUUGACUCUCUUAAUAGCUCUUCUUUCUCUUAGUCCUUCAUGACCAGCUUUUUAGUACCAGAGACAAGGGGGAGGUGUGAAGCAUGGUCCUGUACUAUUCCCCAAAGUAAUAGUAAGCUGUAAGCUGUAUUAGUAUGUGCCAUUCUGUGUGGUGGGUGACUUCUCUGAGGUGUGUGAGACCUCUGUUAGUUGAGGUCAUUUGGCUAAUGACCCUAUUUAUCAAACCUGUGUUUGUGUUUCUGAGUGGCUGAGCCGUUUCCACAUAAAAUUGUCAUGAGCUUUAGACUUUCAUACCUUAUGGGAAAAUGACAAGUGAUUAUCAGACUUGAGGUUAAUAAAACUAUUUUGUCUUUUAGAAAAAUUUUAAAGCCAGGUUUUGUUCUUCUUAGGAAAUAAAGAUACAUGGGUAUUCAUAUAGUCAUUAUACACAUGAGCAGUUAAUCCAAAGAUCUUCUGAUGUUAAAACCAUUAUUCAGGGCAGUACAUGCACACACCUCGAAGAGUGCUCAGAAAACUCUUAAGCAUAACUCUCAGACAUUUGGUUAUCUGAGAUUAGAGGAGGAAAGGACAGUCAGGAAGCAUCUGUUGUAGAUGUUAGGCCUCUUGGCAGACUUUGUUCUCAGGGACCAUCAGAAAUGAGGGAGUGUGGCGGUUCUGAACAGGAGCAGCUUAUUGGUAUAAACAGCAACCUCUCAGUAUUUGUGUUUACACUGAAGUCCUGAUUGAAAACCUUCUGGGUCUUUAUUCCCAGUGACUACUUUCUCAGUUAUUUUGUUGAAAAAUAAUAAUGUGAUUUAUAUCUUACCAUUGCAGUUACCAUCUUUUUUCCUAAUGAAACUAAAUACUCAGGACAGUUUUGGAAUAGAAAAUACAUAUUUUAUUGUGUGUAGCAGACUUAGUAAAAUGUAGUUUUCUCAUUUUAGCGCCAGGUUUGCAUUUAUCCUAGUCUACUUUACCUGCAUAGGCACAAAUCGACUGAAAUGAAACAAAGGGAUUAUAUGUAUUCAAAUUUAGGUUAGACAUUUAGGAAAUGAAUGUAUUUAUUUUGGCAAUGAGAUUAUAUAGUGAAAUGUGAUAUGUAGUAUGCUUCCUUUCUUAUGAUACUAUUAGCAGUUGGACUCUAUAAGAAAGUAUUGUUCUGUGGCCAUAGUAUAUGCAACAUGAAUUUAUUCUCCUACAUCAAAUGUUCUUAUACAAAUGUUGACUGCAAAUUCAUUGUACUUUUUACAUGUUGAUGCUGUAUACAAAGUUGACUAUAAAAUGUGUUUUGUUUUUCUUUUGUUGGUUACAUUGAGAUACCACUGUGGCAUCCUUACUUUCUCUUCUUCUGUAUAUAGGGUAAGGGACUGUUCUUCUGAAGAACCAUUCCAUUUAGUGAUCAAGAUACAGCAGCUGCUCUCAGAAAAUGCUUGAUGUGUAUCCUAAUUGUUCACGAUGCCAUUUGAGUUGUAACUUGCAUUGUAGCAGCAAAUGAUCCCCAACAACCUAAUAGGAAGCUUAAUAAAGUAUGCC
Molecule: RNA transcript, 7137 nt
Organism: Chionomys nivalis (European snow vole)
Lineage: Eukaryota; Metazoa; Chordata; Mammalia; Rodentia; Cricetidae
Gene: Prp4k
Gene name: pre-mRNA processing factor 4B
Exons: 16
Source: RefSeq, a predicted model, not a curated record